UCCGGUGGCUACAUCGGAGGGGUCCUACCCGUUCCCAUCCCGAACACGGAAGUCAAGCCCUCCAGAGCCGAUGGUACUGCACGCCCUGCGUGUGGGAGAGUAGGUCGCUGCCGGAA
RNAcentral lists this ribosomal RNA (116 nucleotides) under Deltaproteobacteria bacterium. The record is from RNAcentral. Lineage: Bacteria; Pseudomonadati; Myxococcota; Myxococcia.